This 411-nucleotide ribosomal RNA is filed under the name Mesorhizobium loti. RNAcentral's name for it is "bacterial SSU rRNA". It matches the Rfam family "Bacterial small subunit ribosomal RNA", at positions 29 to 486 of the family's 1533-position model. The record is from RNAcentral. Lineage: Bacteria; Pseudomonadati; Pseudomonadota; Alphaproteobacteria; Hyphomicrobiales; Phyllobacteriaceae.
AACGAACGCUGGCGGCAGGCUUAACACAUGCAAGUCGAGCGCCCCGCAAGGGGAGCGGCAGACGGGUGAGUAACACGUGGGAAUCUACCCAUCUCUACGGAACAACUCCGGGAAACUGGAGCUAAUACCGUAUACGCCCUUUGGGGGAAAGAUUUAUCGGAGAUGGAUGAGCCCGCGUUGGAUUAGCUAGUUGGUGGGGUAAAGGCCUACCAAGGCGACGAUCCAUAGCUGGUCUGAGAGGAUGAUCAGCCACACUGGGACUGAGACACGGCCCAGACUCCUACGGGAGGCAGCAGUGGGGAAUAUUGGACAAUGGGCGCAAGCCUGAUCCAGCCAUGCCGCGUGAGUGAUGAAGGCCCUAGGGUUGUAAAGCUCUUUCACCGGUGAAGAUAAUGACGGUAAACCGGAGAG